Molecule: ribosomal RNA, 433 nt
Filed under: uncultured bacterium
Lineage: Bacteria
Description: partial 16S ribosomal RNA
Rfam family: Bacterial small subunit ribosomal RNA
Source: RNAcentral
AACGAACGCUGGCGGCAUGCCUAACACAUGCAAGUCGAACGAGACGUCCGGGUCUAUUGGCGCAUGGGUGCGUAACGGGUGGGAACCUGCCCUUAGGUUUGGCAUAACUCCCCGAAUGGGGUGCUAAUACCGGAUCAUAUCUUCGGACCAAAGAUUUAUCGCCUUGGGAUGGGCCCGUGUGGGAUUAGCUAGUUGGUAGGGUAAAAGCCUACCAAGGCGAGGAUCCAUGGCUGGGUGGAGAGGACGAUAAGCCACACUGAGACUGAGACACGGCCCAGACUCCUACGGGAGGGAGCGGAGGAGAAUAUUGGACACGGGGCGAAAGCGUGAUACAGCAACGCCGCGUGAGAGAUGAUGGGCUUAGGGUAGUAAUGCUCUUUUACCCGGGAUGAUAAUGACGGUACCGGGAGAAAAAGCUCCGGCUAACUCCGUG